This 895-nucleotide ribosomal RNA is filed under the name Fusarium oxysporum f. sp. elaeidis. RNAcentral's name for it is "LSU rRNA". It matches the Rfam family "Eukaryotic large subunit ribosomal RNA", at positions 38 to 963 of the family's 3401-position model. The record is from RNAcentral. Lineage: Eukaryota; Fungi; Ascomycota; Sordariomycetes; Hypocreales; Nectriaceae.
ACAUAUCAAUAAGCGGAGGAAAAGAAACCAACAGGGAUUGCCCUAGUAACGGCGAGUGAAGCGGCAACAGCUCAAAUUUGAAAUCUGGCUCUCGGGCCCGAGUUGUAAUUUGUAGAGGAUACUUUUGAUGCGGUGCCUUCCGAGUUCCCUGGAACGGGACGCCAUAGAGGGUGAGAGCCCCGUCUGGUUGGAUGCCAAAUCUCUGUAAAGUUCCUUCGACGAGUCGAGUAGUUUGGGAAUGCUGCUCUAAAUGGGAGGUAUAUGUCUUCUAAAGCUAAAUACCGGCCAGAGACCGAUAGCGCACAAGUAGAGUGAUCGAAAGAUGAAAAGCACUUUGAAAAGAGAGUUAAAAAGUACGUGAAAUUGUUGAAAGGGAAGCGUUUAUGACCAGACUUGGGCUUGGUUGAUCAUCUGGGGUUCUCCCCAGUGCACUCUUCCAGUCCAGGCCAGCAUCAGUUUUCGCCGGGGGAUAAAGACUUCGGGAAUGUGGCUCUCUUCGGGGAGUGUUAUAGCCCGUUGUGUAAUACCCUGGCGGGGACUGAGGUUCGCGCAUCUGCAAGGAUGCUGGCGUAAUGGUCAUCAACGACCCGUCUUGAAACACGGACCAAGGAGUCGUCUUCGUAUGCGAGUGUUCGGGUGUCAAACCCCUACGCGUAAUGAAAGUGAACGCAGGUGAGAGCUUCGGCGCAUCAUCGACCGAUCCUGAUGUUCUCGGAUGGAUUUGAGUAAGAGCAUACGGGGCCGGACCCGAAAGAAGGUGAACUAUGCCUGUAUAGGGUGAAGCCAGAGGAAACUCUGGUGGAGGCUCGCAGCGGUUCUGACGUGCAAAUCGAUCGUCAAAUAUGGGCAUGGGGGCGAAAGACUAAUCGAACCUUCUAGUAGCUGGUUUCCGCGA